UUUUUAUGAGAGUUUGAUCCUGGCUCAGGACGAACGCUGGCGGCGUGCCUAAUACAUGCAAGUCGAACGCUUCUUUUUCCACCGGAGCUUGCUCCACCGGAAAAAGA
Molecule: ribosomal RNA, 107 nt
Filed under: Enterococcus faecium
Lineage: Bacteria; Bacillati; Bacillota; Bacilli; Lactobacillales; Enterococcaceae
Description: partial 16S ribosomal RNA
Rfam family: Bacterial small subunit ribosomal RNA
Source: RNAcentral